Molecule: ribosomal RNA, 482 nt
Filed under: uncultured bacterium
Lineage: Bacteria
Description: partial 16S ribosomal RNA
Rfam family: Bacterial small subunit ribosomal RNA
Source: RNAcentral
AUUGAACGCUGGCGGCAUGCCUUACACAUGCAAGUCGAACGGUAACAGGCCGCCAGGUGCUGACGAGUGGCGAACGGGUGAGUAAUGCAUCGGAACGUGCCCGGUCGUGGGGGAUAACUACUCGAAAGAGUAGCUAAUACCGCAUACGAUCUAUGGAUGAAAGCGGGGGACCGUAAGGCCUCGCGCGAUUGGAGCGGCCGAUGUCAGAUUAGGUAGUUGGUGGGGUAAAGGCUCACCAAGCCAACGAUCUGUAGCUGGUCUGAGAGGACGACCAGCCACACUGGGACUGAGACACGGCCCAGACUCCUACGGGAGGCAGCAGUGGGGAAUUUUGGACAAUGGGCGAAAGCCUGAUCCAGCAAUGCCGCGUGCAGGAAGAAGGCCUUCGGGUUGUAAACUGCUUUUGUACGGAACGAAACGGCUCUGGUUAAUACCCGGGGCUAAUGACGGUACCGUAAGAAUAAGCACCGGCUAACUACGUG